GUCCACGCCGUAAACGAUGGAUGCUAGAUGGUGCGGGUAUUGACCCCCGCACUGUCGCAGCUAACGCAAUAAGCAUCCCGCCUGGGGAGUACGGCCGCAAGGCUAAAACUCAAAGGAAUUGACGGGGGCCCGCACAAGCGGUGGAGCAUGUGGUUUAAUUCGACGCAACGCGAAGAACCUUACCUGGGUUAAAUCCACUCGAACCUUACAGAGAUGUAGGGGUGCCUUUCGGGGAAUGAGUGAGAAGGUGCUGCAUGGCUGUCGU
This 265-nucleotide ribosomal RNA is filed under the name uncultured bacterium. Its description in RNAcentral is "partial 16S ribosomal RNA". It matches the Rfam family "Bacterial small subunit ribosomal RNA", at positions 793 to 1055 of the family's 1533-position model. The record is from RNAcentral.